UCUUGAUUAAGCGGGUGAUUUGGGGCUCUGAGAAACCGUGGUUCUUGAAGAAGGCGAUGACAGUAUCAGCUCUAUCCGAGGUUUUAAACUGAACAUACUUGGCGGCAGUUAAAGCAGAUUCCGAGGACAACCCACAUUUCUUUUUAAGGUACGAAACUGUAAAUGACUGUUUCUUUGAAGAGCUUGAAAUGCAUCUGAGAGUGAGAGAUGCAGAUACUCCUAAAAGUGACGAUGAAAGGGACGAUGGGUCGUUUUUGGAAACGCAUAAAACUUUGUGACUUUGAGAGGCUGUAACAGCGAGUCUCCCAUGGAGAAUUCUUUUGCAGAGAAAGUAAAACAUGGGGAUUAGAACUAAGUUAACUAGAGAAGGAAUUUACCUGUUUCUGGAGAUUAAAAAUUUGUUCUUUGAAAAUGGGCAGAUUCUGAAUUCAAAGAAGAAACCUCCACCCGUAAGGCAGCAACCUUGAAAGACAGGUCCUUUUUGGAGUCGACUGUUUAGAGACCCAGGCUUCUGAAGCUGUUGAGGACAAAAUUGAGAUAAUAUAUUGUUUUUUCUUUUUAUCAAAACCUGAACCUUUCCCGUUCUUCUAUCUAAGAUUUUCUACGCUUAAUGCAUAUGAAAAUUUUCUCGUGAAGAAGUAUGAUAAGCCAUGAGCUUCUUCAUUAUAUAAAUUUCAAUCGAAUUAACUUUCUUUACAUUGAACUUUGCCCGGCGUGAUAUCUUUAGUACUAUAUGCCGACAUAUAUGUUUGUUUUGGGGCCAUCAAAGACCGAUCUGCAUAGCCACUACUGCCUACGCCACUAUCCGUGUAUGAAUUCUAACUCGUCGGGGGUUUGAAAUCCUCAUAUUUCUUAUCCAAUUUGCCAAGGUGGGACUCUUAAUUAGUUUGUUUGACAUAUUUAACAUGGAGCAAUAUUUUUAAUAUUGAUAUUAAAUAUAUCAAUUCAGAGAGAAAACUUGAAUAAAAUCAUAGGAGUGUGUUAUAGGUAAGUGAUGAAAAUUCAAAGUAUAAUAAGGUUUCCUCUUACACCAGUCAUUGUUGGAGGUUAGUAGCUGCUAAACCACUUGGGAGGUAAACUAAAAUGAUUCAAUUUCCAUACCGUAGGAUAUAAGUAGAAUCUUUAAAACAUGCUGCCUUCUGAGCCUUGCAUGGUAGGCUACUAGGCAAAGUAUGUAGUUUUUUUUUCCUCUGGUGGACUCCUACUGCCAACCAUUGCACUGGCAAAGCUUGUAUGCUUUAUACCCUCUGGUGGCAACCUACCGCCAACCAUUGCACUUACUCAUCACAGAAGCAAAGAAAGAAAGUUGGAGGAGUUUAUCAGGUUGGCUACACAAAGAUUAGCAUAGUCAAGAACUCCAAGUUCCAUGUUUCAAAUGACAGAAAAUAAUGGAAUUUUGGUUUCACAACCCUUCCUAUUUAGCUUCCAUUCUACAAUCUCCUAUCCCACAGUCCCUGCACAACCAAAAGGAAAGAAACAAAAAACUGUAGAACAGCAAAAGAACCAGAAAAACACAAGCUUUUCUUGGAGCUUCUUAACAACUGGGGCUGGAGGAUUAUGGUACAGUUUCUGAAUAGCUGGAUAUUCAACCAAUCCUUAAAUAUGCUCCUUGCUAACACAUGGCAAGAGGGGGUGCAACUACAGAAGUACAGAUAUCAGGCCAAACAAUAAUUAUAACCUGAGAAAUUUGUCUCGCAUCUGCAUUUGGAGACGAAGAUAACACAUGAUAGCACAGCAAAUUGUCAGAGCACAUGGUCGAAUUCAAGUUUCACUAAUGGCAGAAAAGAAUAAAGCAAAAAUUUGUAUUAGCUGCAUUUCUAACCUAAACCCAAGCAAAGUUUCAGAAUAAAGAAUCAAACUCAAUCAAAGUACCUUGAGGAAAAUCUGAAUCUUUUAAUGUCAACAAUCUAUAAAUGCUGCAGCUUGUAUCAACCAAUUUUCCAGUUUUUGGAAAGAUUGAGCUUCUCUUGAUAUAGCUUUAACAGCUCAGACUCUUCUGCUUUAAAGCGGUUCACAAACUUCUCAAUAAAUAAAUUGUCUGAAGUCUCCAACAAAGCCUGCAAGUUAACACGCUUGAUAAUACCUUUGGACAACAAAUCUAGAGCAAACAGACCCCUUGGAACAAUCUUUUUAUCCAAGCUCAUCAUCAGUAUACGGGGACGUUUGGCGAAAAUCGAAGAUCGAAAACCCAUUUUAUUCACAAGGAAAUCCAUUGUCAACAUAAAUUUAUCCUCAGACACUUUAAUAAACAUGGGAUACCUCCGAAAAGCUUCCAAAGCCUCUUUCUCAGACCAACCAUACUUCUUAAAAACUUCAAACUUCUUCUUCCAUGUUGAUUUGCUCAUUGAACUCAUUGCAGAGAGUGCUACCAUAAACAUUGGCCUGGAAGGGAUGAGCCCCAUUUCCUUUGUUUCCUCGAUCAUAUUCUUAAACUGAAUUGGACUUCUGAUUAAUGUUGAAGGCAGUGAAUGAAGUGUUGUAACAAUCCUACAUUCAGGCACUCCAUUAUCCAGCAAAAGAUCGAUAUUGGGUAACAAAAUAGCAUUAAGAUCAUAACAUAAAAGGCGUGGAUAGCGUUUUACAGCAUGAAUAAUCUUCUCAUCAGACUUUAGUAAAUUACUAAGACAAUUAAAAGAAGGGACAAUUUGUUUCUCUAAGCUUGACCCAAAAAUUGCUGGGUUAUCAGACAAGAUUUUGAUAAGGUCAGGGCUUGAAGUACCUUUAGAGCGCAAAAACUCAAGUUUGGGCGAAAGGGUUUUCUCGACAUCAUAUAAAAGCACUACCGGCCGUCUCUUGAUGAGGCGGCUGAUUUGGGGUUCUGAGAAACCGUGGUUCUUGAAGAAGGCAAUGACAGUGUCAGCUCUAUCCGAGGUUGCAAACUGAACAUACUUGGCGGCAGUUAAAGCAGAUUCCGAGGACAACCCACAUUUCUUUUGAAGGUACGAAACUGUAAAUGACUGCUUCUUUGAAGAGCUUGAAAUGCAUCUCUGAGUGAGAGAUGCAGAUACUCCUACAAGUGACGAUGGGUCGUUUUGGGAAACGUAUAAAACUUUGUGACUUUGAGAGGCUGUAACAGCGUGCCUCCCAUG
This 3089-nucleotide long non-coding RNA is filed under the name Theobroma cacao (cacao). RNAcentral's name for it is "long non-coding RNA (TCAC_LNC002781)". Lineage: Eukaryota; Viridiplantae; Streptophyta; Magnoliopsida; Malvales; Malvaceae. The record is from RNAcentral.